GACGAACGCUGGCGGCGUGCUUAACACAUGCUGGUCGAACGGAAAGGCCCUGCUUUUGUGGGGUGCUCGAGUGGCGAACGGGUGAGUAACACGUGAGUAACCUGCCCUUGACUUUGGGAUAACUUCAGGAAACUGGGGCUAAUACCGGAUAGGAGCUCCUGCUGCAUGGUGGGGGUUGGAAAGUUUCGGCGGUUGGGGAUGGACUCGCGGCUUAUCAGCUUGUUGGUGGGGUAGUGGCUUACCAAGGCUUUGACGGGUAGCCGGCCUGAGAGGGUGACCGGCCACAUUGGGACUGAGAUACGGCCCAGACUCCUACGGGAGGCGGCAGUGGGGAAUAUUGCACAAUGGGCGGAAGCCUGAUGCAGCAACGCCGCGUGCGGGAUGACGGCCUUCGGGUUGUAAACCGCUUUCGCCUGUGACGAAGCGUGAGUGACGGUAAUGGGUAAAGAAGCACCGGCUAACUACGUGCCAGCAGCCGCGGUGAUACGUAGGGUGCGAGCGUCGUCCGGAUUUAUUGGGCGUAAAGGGCUCGUAGGUGGUUGAUCGCGUCGGAAGUGUAAUCUUGGGGCUUAACCCUGAGCGUGCUUUCGAUACGGGUUGACUUGAGGAAGGUAGGGGAGAAUGGAAUUCCUGGUGGAGCGGUGGAAUGCGCAGAUAUCAGGAGGAACACCAGUGGCGAAGGCGGUUCUCUGGGCCUUUCCUGACGCUGAGGAGCGAAAGCGUGGGGAGCGAACAGGCUUAGAUACCCUGGUAGUCCACGCUGUAAACGGUGGGUACUAGGUGUGGGGUCCAUUCCACGGGUUCCGUGCCGUAGCUAACGCUUUAAGUACCCCGCCUGGGGAGUACGGCCGCAAGGCUAAAACUCAAAGGAAUUGACGGGGCCCCGCACAAGCGGCGGAGCAUGCGGAUUAAUUCGAUGCAACGCGUAGAACCUUACCUGGGUUUGACAUGGAUCGGGAGUGCUCAGAGAUGGGUGUGCCUCUUUUGGGGUCGGUUCACAGGUGGUGCAUGCCUGUCGUCAGCUCGUGUCGUGAGAUGUUGGGUUAAGUCCCGCGACGAGCGCAACCCUUGUUCACUGUUGCCAGCACGUUAUGGUGGGGACUCAGUGGAGACCGCCGGGGUCAACUCGGAGGAAGGUGGGGAUGACGUCAAGUCCUCAUGCCCCUUAUGUCCAGGGCUUCACGCAUGCUACAAUGGCUGGUACAGAGAGUGGCGAGCCUGUGAGGGUGAGCGAAUCUCGGAAAGCCGGUCUCAGUUCGGAUUGGGGUCUGCAACUCGACCUCAUGAAGUCGGAGUCGCUAGUAAUCGCAGAUCAGCAACGCUGCGGUGAAUACAAUCCCGGGGCU
This 1346-nucleotide ribosomal RNA is filed under the name uncultured bacterium. Its description in RNAcentral is "bacterial SSU rRNA". It matches the Rfam family "Bacterial small subunit ribosomal RNA", at positions 28 to 1381 of the family's 1533-position model. The record is from RNAcentral.